This 591-nucleotide unclassified non-coding RNA is filed under the name Hevea brasiliensis (rubber tree). Lineage: Eukaryota; Viridiplantae; Streptophyta; Magnoliopsida; Malpighiales; Euphorbiaceae. The record is from RNAcentral.
AAAACAUGGCAAUUUCUCUAUGAAAAGUGGCUGCCACUUGGCUCGUCAUUUGAGCACACAAGAGCAGGUGGGCACAUCACAUUGUGUGGUGAUGCUAUUGAAACCACUGAACAUCUCCUCUUGCAUUGCCCAGUAGUGCGUCAGGUGUGGCACGCAAGCCCUCUACGCGUCGUAAUUUUAUGUCAACAAAAGGAGCUGCUGGUACAAGUUCUAGAACCCACUUUGUUAGGCAAGAUAAGUGGACUGCACCAACGGGAAACUGCUUCAAACUUAACACUGAUGCUGCUGUGCCUGGAAAUGCAACUAUUGAGAUGAUGAUGGCUGCAACAAAGGGAGAUCGGAAGGAUCAGUCGGAUGAACUAGUUCAAAUAGAGUUUGAACAGGUAAGAAUAAGUUUUGAAAGACAUGGACAAGAUAAAAGCCGCUAGAACAGCAAGAAGGAUUAUUGCCAGAAAUCAUGUUGAUAUAGUAUGUUUUCGUAGCAUAUGAAGGCAUACAGCUCAGCACUGAUUAAUAGAAUUUCAAGAAUCACAUUGAUAUAUCUUUUAUCAUCAUGUAAAUAGGCUUACUACACCUACCCAUAGAAGUUGC